AACGAACGCUGGCGGCAUGCCUAACACAUGCAAGUCGAACGAGACCUUCGGGUCUAGUGGCGCACGGGUGCGUAACGCGUGGGAACCUGCCCUUAGGUUCGGAAUAACUCCCCGAAAGGGGUGCUAAUACCGGAUAAUGUCUUCGGACCAAAGAUUUAUCGCCUUUGGAUGGGCCCGCGUUGGAUUAGCUAGUUGGUAGGGUAAAAGCCUACCAAGGCGACGAUCCAUAGCUGGUCUGAGAGGAUGAUCAGCCACACUGGGACUGAGACACGGCCCAGACUCAUACGGGAGGCAGCAGUGGGGAAUAUUGGACAAUGGGCGAAAGACUGAGCCAGAAAUGCCGCGGGAGUGAUGAAGGCCUUAGGGUUGUAAAGCUCUUUUACCCGGGAUGAUAAUGACAGUACCGGGAGAAUAAGCUCCGGCUAACUCCGUG
This 433-nucleotide ribosomal RNA is filed under the name uncultured bacterium. RNAcentral describes it as "partial 16S ribosomal RNA". It matches the Rfam family "Bacterial small subunit ribosomal RNA", at positions 29 to 507 of the family's 1533-position model. The record is from RNAcentral.